UGGGGAAUAUUGGACAAUGGGGGGAACCCUGAUCCAGCCAUGCCGCGUGUGUGAAGAAGGCCUUAUGGUUGUAAAGCACUUUAAGCGAGGAGGAGGGUACUGGUAUUAAUACUACCAGCUACUGGACGUUACUCGCAGAAUAAGCACCGGCUAACUCUGUGCCAGCAGCCGCGGUAAUACAGAGGGUGCAAGCGUUCAUCGGAAUUACUGGGCGUAAAGCGCGCGUAGGUGGUUCGUUAAGUUGAAUGUGAAAGCCCCGGGCUCAACCUGGGAACUGCAUCCAAAACUGGCGAGCUAGAGUAGGGCAGAGGGUGGUGGAAUUUCCUGUGUAGCGGUGAAAUGCGUAGAUAUAGGAAGGAACACCAGUGGCGAAAGCGACCACCUGGGCUCAUACUGACACUGAGGUGCGAAAGCGUGGGGAGCAAACAGG
Molecule: ribosomal RNA, 430 nt
Filed under: Pseudomonadota bacterium
Lineage: Bacteria; Pseudomonadati; Pseudomonadota
Description: Proteobacteria bacterium partial 16S ribosomal RNA
Rfam family: Bacterial small subunit ribosomal RNA
Source: RNAcentral